UAUUACUCUGUUCCUUAUUUUAAUCAACAUUUUUUCCUAGUGUUUUAUUUGCUGUUGUAUUUGUAUUUUAUUUACAGUUCUGCCUAGAAUCAUCCGAGUAUGAGCCAAAUGUGCCUUUCUUCAAAUGCAGUCGUCUUAUUGUACGCCGUCUAGUUUCUCUUCAAACCAAAUUUUCAGGCACCAGAUAAAAAGUGAUAUCUGGAAAGUGCUUGUCUGAUCCCUGAUACGCUCCUGAAAAUCUUGUCUGGAAACAUCCUGCCACGGAUGCCUUAAAACAGGCUGCAAAGAUCACCAAGGAGUUCUGGAGUUUUCCUAGCUGAUCAGCUGCUGUUUCCUCUCUGAUGAUUUAUCUUUCACACCUUUGGUAUCUUUUAUUACUCUCCUUUAUUUUCAUUUCUAGGAGAUUGAGGAAAGCUCAUUAUCUAUAAUGAGACGAAAUAUAUUGCUGGUGGCCAGAAGGGUUAUUUUGAAGAAAUUCAGAGAAGAGAAAUGUCAGACUUUUGCAAAAUGGACGAACGUUCUAGCCCUUAAAGCCAUUUCUAAGGGCAUGUUCAGAAAAAUGAGAUCAGGCGUGUCACAAGCAAUCUACAUUUGAGAACGGACAAAAUGUGCAGUUGAAGAGGAGAUUUUGGGCACUUCAUCUCUACCUCAAGUACUGAAAUUACAAGCAAAAUCAGCACAGGUAAAAGGUCUGCAGGGCAAUGAGGAAGCUACAGUGAAAAGAUAUGGCUCCAGAAGAGAGAUCUGUAUGCAUGUUUGUAUGUGCUGUUUGUUUGGUCGUGGUGUUCCUUUUUUAGGGGGUGAGGGUGGAGAGAGGGUAAGGAGUACGUAUCUGAAAAGAAAUCAUAACCUUUAGCAUAAAACAUUGAUGUUAUGCAGUGGGGUAGCAAGUGAUGAGAGACAUCUCCAGGUCCAGUGCUAGAACAGGGAGAAAAGAUUGUAUGUUUCCGGGAAAUAUCUGCAAUUAAAAAUCUGCAAAUAAAAAGGAGUAAUUACUUGUUUUGAUUCUUGUA
This 1013-nucleotide long non-coding RNA is filed under the name Numida meleagris (helmeted guineafowl). RNAcentral describes it as "lncRNA (ENSNMEG00000008277.1)". The record is from RNAcentral. Lineage: Eukaryota; Metazoa; Chordata; Aves; Galliformes; Numididae.